GGGCGGUUAGCUCAGCUGGUUAGAGCGCCUGCUUUACACGCAGGAGGCCGCAGGUUCGAGUCCUGCACUGCCCACCA
RNAcentral lists this transfer RNA (77 nucleotides) under Planctomyces sp. RNAcentral's name for it is "tRNA-Val". It matches the Rfam family "tRNA". Rfam says of the family: Transfer RNA (tRNA) molecules are approximately 80 nucleotides in length. The record is from RNAcentral. RNAcentral also lists the same sequence under 1 other name. Lineage: Bacteria; Pseudomonadati; Planctomycetota; Planctomycetia; Planctomycetales; Planctomycetaceae.